This 253-nucleotide ribosomal RNA is filed under the name uncultured bacterium. RNAcentral's name for it is "partial 16S ribosomal RNA". It matches the Rfam family "Bacterial small subunit ribosomal RNA", at positions 524 to 776 of the family's 1533-position model. The record is from RNAcentral.
UACGAAGGGGGCUAGCGUUGCUCGGAAUCACUGGGCGUAAAGCGCGUGUAGGCGGCCCGGUAAGUCCGCUGUGAAAGUCGGGGGCUCAACCCUCGAAAGCCGGUGGAUACUGUCGGGCUCGAGUACGGAAGAGGCGAGUGGAAUUCCUGGUGUAGCGGUGAAAUGCGCAGAUAUCAGGAGGAACACCAAUUGCGAAGGCAGCUCGCUGGGACGUUACUGACGCUGAGACGCGAAAGCGUGGGGAGCAAACAGG